This is a long non-coding RNA of Pan troglodytes (chimpanzee), 204 nucleotides long. RefSeq lists it as uncharacterized. NCBI's taxonomy places the organism in Eukaryota, Metazoa, Chordata, Mammalia, Primates, Hominidae. The transcript has 3 exons. The record is from RefSeq and is a predicted model, not a curated record.
GUUUUACCUUCAAAGUGAAAAACGUUCAAUUAGUUUUGAAGUUGAAUCUUGAUCCUCCCAAAUAAACAAGGAUUUCUAGUGUAAACUGUGAUCCUCUUCCUUGAGUGAGAUGGAAAAAAAUUAAUUUGCCGCAUCAGUGUCCAUAUCUCAGGGUCCGGCACGGUGACGGGCACAUACAAGACAUUUGUGAAACGUGUGGAAUGC